RNAcentral lists this long non-coding RNA (1152 nucleotides) under Ursus maritimus (polar bear). Its description in RNAcentral is "lncRNA (ENSUMAG00000020430.1)". Lineage: Eukaryota; Metazoa; Chordata; Mammalia; Carnivora; Ursidae. The record is from RNAcentral.
GAGAACCCUGGCUAGUUGAGUCUUUAAACUUGAGUCUUCAGCCUGGAAAGUGGGAAGUCUCUCCAGUGCAUCAGAUCUUGAAGCACACUGUGGUCAUUAUUAAGGCAAUUUUCCUAACUCUGAAAAGCCUCAAUCUUGCUUGCCUUUGGAGAUUCUCUUGGGGGAACAGAAAAAAGGAAAGAUUAAAAUAAAACCCAGCCUCACUAAUGUUUGCUGCUGGCAAACGAAGAGCGCCCCAGCAAGGAGACCAGGGUCUAGGGAAUAAAAGAAGACUAAAACUGCAAACCUCAUCAUCAAGAAGCUCUCAACCUUGUGACACAUAAACAGACACAUUUCCCCUGCCAAAGUUUCAGAGUUGAGGUUUCAAAUAAGAAAAGGGCAAAGAAAUAAGCUUGGAGCAAACACAUUGUUUCUAUUGAUAAAAUUUUAGAAGAUGAGUAUAAUGUAUUUGGAGUGUAAUGUGUUUGGAAUCCACUAAUUAGGAGUCGACGAGGGUGGAAUUAAAUUUUUGUGAGACAGAAGAGUAGCAUCACUUUCUGCCAGUCUUAAAAAUGGGGUUGAUUUAAAAAAGCAAUAAUGCAAAGAACCAAGGGGACUGUCCAUUAGGUGCUCCAAUAAGACUCUGGUUAUACUUCAACAGUAGUGUCCUGAAGAUUAUUGUCAUCAUCUGCCUACAUUAGACUGUGAGCCACCAGAAGGGAGUCUCUCUCAUUCAUUUUCGUGCCUAAUACUGACUAAUUGGAUAUAUGAUGAUGUUUAAAAGGGAAAAGAACUUUCCCAUUCCUUCUUUAAGCCAUUUUAACAGAAUGCAUUUACGUAGAACUUAUUAAGGCAAAAUUACCAGUGAUUGUCUGUUCAUUAAGAUGUCUACCUGGCAAACACCUUGUUAAUCUAUGAUUCGUAUUGUUCUAGAAAGUAUUAAGAUAACUUAAAACAUAUUGAAUAAUUCAGAAGUUUCACCAGCUCUGAAUGACCUUACCAAUUAGAUUAAAUUAGCGUAAUGUGCAUAUUUACUUUUUUAGAAAAGCUUUUAUCUUAGAGAGGAAGUAGGGAAAAGUCUAAGAAUUCACUUACCUUUGGUGUCUUUAGGGUUAAAAAGGGGCUUCAUUAAACUUCUUUUUUUUUAAAUUAAAAUUUCUUUGAAAUAGUUUU